This 759-nucleotide small RNA is filed under the name Pan troglodytes (chimpanzee). RNAcentral's name for it is "processed transcript". Lineage: Eukaryota; Metazoa; Chordata; Mammalia; Primates; Hominidae. The record is from RNAcentral.
GCUUAGAGAAACCUCCAGGAGACUGCUAUCAUGGCAGAGAAGCCCAAGCUCCACUACUCCAAUGCACGGGGCAGAAUGGAGUCCAUCCGGUGGCUCCUGGCUGCAGCUGGAGUAGAGUUUGAAGAGAAAUUUCUAGAAUCUGCAGAAGAUUUGGACAAGUUAAGAAAUGGAUUGAUAUGUACACAGAAGGUAUAGUAGAUUUGACUGAAAUGAUCGUUCUUCUGCUCGUAUGUCAACCAGAGGAAAGAGAUGCCAAGACCACCUUGGUCAAAGAGAAAAUAAAAAAUCGCUACUUCCCUGCCUUUGAAAAAGUCUUAAAGAGCCAGGGACAAGACUACCUUGUUGGCAACAAGCUGAGCCGGGCUGACAUUCACCUGGUGGAACUUCUCUACUACGUGGAAGAGCUUGACUCGAGUCUUAUCUCCAGCUUCCCUCUGCUGAAGGCCCUGAAAACCAGAAUCAGCAACCUGCCCACGGUGAAGAAGUUUCUGCAGCCUGGCAGCCAGAGAAAGCCUCCCAUGGAUGAGAAAUCUUUAGAAGAAGCAAGGAAGAUUUUCAGGUUUUAAUAAAGCAGCCAUGGAGGCCAAGAAUAUGCCAGACCAAUAUUCUACAGUUUGCAACAAUGAAGUGCUUUACCUAAGUGUGGAUUGCGCCUCUUGUAAAGCUAAUAAACUCUUUCCAAUUACAUGCUAAUUAAAUAAUAAAUAACUCUUAUUUGUCAACUUAGCUAAAAUUGGUUUGUUUUCAUUAGGAUCUGAU